GAUGAACGCUGGCGGCGUGCCUAAUACAUGCAAGUCGAGCGAACAGAUAAGGAGCUUGCUCCUUUGACGUUAGCGGCGGACGGGUGAGUAACACGUGGGUAACCUACCUAUAAGACUGGGAUAACUUCGGGAGACCGGAGCUAAUACCGGAUAAUAUUUCGAACCGCAUGGUUCGAUAGUGAAAGAUGGUUUUGCUAUCACUUAUAGAUGGACCCGCGCCGUAUUAGCUAGUUGGUAAGGUAACGGCUUACCAAGGCGACGAUACGUAGCCGACCUGAGAGGGUGAUCGGCCACACUGGAACUGAGACACGGUCCAGACUCCUACGGGAGGCAGCAGUAGGGAAUCUUCCGCAAUGGGCGAAAGCCUGACGGAGCAACGCCGCGUGAGUGAUGAAGGUCUUCGGAUCGUAAAACUCUGUUAUUAGGGAAGAACAUACGUGUAAGUAACUGUGCACGUCUUGACGGUACCUAAUCAGAAAGCCACGGCUAACUACGUG
This 497-nucleotide ribosomal RNA is filed under the name uncultured bacterium. Its description in RNAcentral is "partial 16S ribosomal RNA". It matches the Rfam family "Bacterial small subunit ribosomal RNA", at positions 28 to 507 of the family's 1533-position model. The record is from RNAcentral.